UCUCUCUCUCUCUCUCUCUCUCUCUCUCUCUCUCUCUCUCUCUUUCUUUCUUUCCUUCUUUUUUUUUUUUUUUUUUUGCCGUUUUUACCAGUUGUUCGGGAAGAGCCUACCCCCAGCGUACAGCAGACUCAGCCACCUCAGCAGGCACUAAAGGCUCCGCAAGCUCCACAGAUCCAGCCAGCCCAGCAGGCCCCACAGGCACCGCAGGCUCAGCCAACCCAGCAGCAGGCCCAGCAGGCUCAGCAGGCCCCACAGGCACCGCAGGCCCAGCCGGCCCCACAGGCCCCGCAGACCCAUCCAACCCAGCAGCAGGCCCAACAGGCCCAGCCAACCCAGCAGCAGGCCCAGCAGGCCCAGCCAACCCAGCAGCAGCAGGCCCAGCAGCAGGCCCAGAGGCGCUCAGCUGUAUUUCUCUCCUUUAAGCCUCCAAUUCCAUGUCUGCCCCUGCGCUGGGAGCAACAGAGCAAGCUUCUUCCAACUGUUGCUGGGAUCCCGGCGAGUCGAGUUUCCAAGUGGAGCACAGACGAGGUGUCAGAAUUCAUUCAGAGUUUGCCCGGAUGUGAAGAACAUGGAAAGGUGUUUAAGGAUGAACAAAUUGAUGGAGAAGCAUUUUUACUGAUGACCCAGACAGACAUUGUUAAAAUUAUGAGCAUUAAGCUGGGCCCAGCUCUCAAAAUUUUCAAUUCUAUUCUGAUGUUCAAAGCCGCGGAGAAGAAUUCCCACAACGAACUGUGAAGACGGUGAAUUCUGGCACCAUCGGCUUCUGCUUUAUAGCUCAUUAUGUUCUUUCAAAGCACAAGGACAGCUCCGGCUCUGGAGUGAGGAGUCUUCGGAAUUCCCAGGGGCAGCACUACAGGGCCCAUGGGUCCCUCCAGCUGCAGACACAUUCUUAGGGAAUGCCCAAGCUUCUUACCAGCAACUGGCCAACAGCAGUCACCUUUGGUUCCGCUCACCGAGCUAAACUUAACCUUUGUAAAUUUUUUGGAUGUGGGAGGAGGGUGGGGAGAGGGAGGCUUCGUUAUUUAUGGAUGGGGCAAAAAUCAGAACUUUUGGCAUUUUGUAAACAUUGUCGGAGUCUCUUUCAUGUACACUUUCUUUUUUUUUUUUUUUUCAAUAUUUUCAGAAACCUUUUUAUAUAACGGAAUCUCAACCUAAACCAAAUCCUUUGAACCUGGCUGGGUUUAGCCUGGGACUCGUGUCAGUCAUGUUCACCCUGUGCCAUAUUUGGAAUUGCAGCAUUAGCCAAGUGUAACGUUGUGAGUCGUGAUAUUGCCUAACUGUGUCAACCUCUGUUGGGACUGAAGAAUUGUAAAUACUACCUUUCCUUGAAUCCAUGUUUUUACUUUUGCACGCAUCAUGAAUUGUUAAACAAAGUACUUUUCACCAGCAUCUUUACUGUUAUUAUUACCAAAAAGAUGUAUAUAAAAGAAUGGAACUGAAGAGUAAAAUAUAUAAACCUACUUAGAUUUGAAGGAGGUAGCGUAUCUGGACAGAAUUGGUUUGGUACGUCAUGGUGCCCAUGUUCCCAGCAGUUGGCAUUGGAGGAUUGUGCAGUUUCAUAUCCCAAGGGAUAUUGACGAGGAAUUUGAUUUGUGAAGUUACUGUGUGCAUCUAUGUACAUGACAUGGAAGUGGCUGGUGCUUUACUGAAAAGGACUCACUUGUCUGGAAACACUAAUCCUUCAAGAGCUCCCAUCCGUCCUACAUGUCCUCCAGACCCAGAGGAUUUGCUCAGAGUGAGCUGAGAAGCAGAGCAAGGGUCUCACUGCACAGACUUGGUGUGACUGUCACAUCUGCAGAUACAGAAUUCUCUUCGCUCACAGAUCGAGAAAGUGGUUCCCAAAGCCAUUCUUCGGAAACCUCCAAUGGUGAAAGAUACCUUUUCCUAAAAAAAUAUUUUGCCUUGAUUUCUAAGUAUCUGGAUGCACUUUAAAUGAAAGCCCAUGGUUAUUUAUAAACUCAUAGCUGGCAGUGUUUCUUUUGUAAGCGUGCACUUCUAAGGGGAAGGUAAGAUAUUUUGUCAGUCUUUGGAUGUAUUUUCUAAUCCCACGAUUAGACAUUUACUCAAGGACUGGUUUAAAAAUAGAAAGUUUAGUAGCAUGCUGUCGGAACUCUGGGGGAAGGUCCCACCUCUUCCCAUGAACUCUUUAAUGUUUUUCUGAUGUAGGACUUCCUUUGAUGUGCCAUAGUAGGAGUCCUUUGCAUUUGUCAUGAUUCAAGGUAAACAGGGUCCGUGACAUCUGCAAUGUCCUCUUCAUUUCUUUGCAUGAAUCUGCUAAAUGAGCUUUUUAUUGUUACUCCCCCUCCCCCUUUGUUGUGGUCAGUAUUUGUACAUUAACUUGCACUUGUUACAUGUGAUAUGAAUGAAAUAAAAUCUUAAUUGCA
This 2384-nucleotide long non-coding RNA is filed under the name Rattus norvegicus (Norway rat). RNAcentral describes it as "long non-coding RNA NONRATT000079". The record is from RNAcentral. Lineage: Eukaryota; Metazoa; Chordata; Mammalia; Rodentia; Muridae.